This 454-nucleotide ribosomal RNA is filed under the name uncultured Prevotella sp. Its description in RNAcentral is "bacterial SSU rRNA". It matches the Rfam family "Bacterial small subunit ribosomal RNA", at positions 341 to 792 of the family's 1533-position model. The record is from RNAcentral. Lineage: Bacteria; Pseudomonadati; Bacteroidota; Bacteroidia; Bacteroidales; Prevotellaceae.
ACGGGAGGCAGCAGUGAGGAAUAUUGGUCAAUGGACGAGAGUCUGAACCAGCCAAGUAGCGUGCAGGAUGACGGCCCUAUGGGUUGUAAACUGCUUUUGUACGGGAAUAAAGUGACCUACGUGUAGGUUUUUGCAUGUACCGUAAGAAUAAGGACCGGCUAAUUCCGUGCCAGCAGCCGCGGUAAUACGGAAGGUCCGGGCGUUAUCCGGAUUUAUUGGGUUUAAAGGGAGCGUAGGCCGGACUUUAAGCGUGUUGUGAAAUGUAGUCGCUCAACGGGUGCACUGCAGCGCGAACUGGAGUCCUUGAGUGCGCGGGAAGUUGGCGGAAUUUGUGGUGUAGCGGUGAAAUGCUUAGAUAUCACGAAGAACUCCGAUUGCGAAGGCAGCUGACUGUAGCGUAACUGACGCUGAUGCUCGAAAGUGCGGGUAUCGAACAGGAUUAGAUACCCUGGUA